ACCCUGAUGGAGCCAAGAAAUUCUGUUCCACCUCCGGUCCUCCUCCUCCCACGUGUAGCUCUUUCAACAGGCUCAGCGUAGCCCCCCAAGGCCGACAGUACCCACACAACUUAGCUCCGGAAGCUGGAGCCAGGAAGGGCCGUCCAGGGCCAGGGAAGAUCUUCGGGACAGACGUAUCGUCAAAGGGAGAGGCACCAGUGCAGAGUGACCCUGCCAGCUCCCCUUCCCAGAAUACGCCCCACCCUCUGCACCGAGGAGCCUGGAAGCUGAAGCCCCCUCUCAUCCCCAAAGCAGAGUUCAGGCUGGAAGCCACACCUCCAUACCCAGGCCCUCUCCUGGAGUCACCGCUAGGCCUUCUCUGGAAGAGCUUCAGCUGAUUUCUUCCCCAGGACCUUGAUCAGCCAUACGUGAUCCAGCCACACAGAGGAGACGAGAAAAGUAAAAGAUUCAGAUCGGUUUUCCAGUACUGGCACCUGAAAGCCCCAUAGCCCUGCUGCUGCAACAGGAUCAUCGCACUGUCUGAACCUGGUGGACCCCGAAGAAGAAACGACUUUAUUUUUCCUGGCUCCACGGCCUUUGGCAACACUGGCUUGAGUCUCCUGUUCCUGGCUCUUAAAUAACAGCUGGGGCCAAUCCCAGAGCUUUGGGUCACUCUUGGGUAUAAGGAAGUCCAGUCCGGUCUAGUCCAGGGUAAAACUUGAAUCUCCAAUCCAUUUUAAUGCUCGUAUUCUCCCUGUGCCCAGAACAGACCCUCCUGCAGCUGAAGGGACUUGCAAAGGGGAUAAGAGAUGUUCUUCUCCCCACCCCCACCUUCUAUUUCUGGCCCUUCCAGAGUCUCAGGCCGGGGGGGAGAGGACCUGAAAAGACCAUGGACGCCCUCUGUGGGGCCUGGCUCCAAGUGCUAGCUCUCCUGGCCCCAUGUGGGGUUGUCGGAAUACAUGCAGGAGCCUCCUCUCUGCCACAGAUGGGCAAGCCACAGUCCCCACAGGCUCUAGCCCUUGGGGUUCCCCCCCACCCACAGCCUCCUCUGGCCCCCCCAAGGCCUGCCUUCUGGGGUGGAAUAUUGUAAAAAUCCAAAGGUGGCCCAACCACCUGCCAGGGUCCACUCGGCUCCGAGGACCCUUACACACCCUGACCGUGCCAGGCGGUGGCCCUGCAGACAGCCCCCAGGGACCCCAACACCUCUCUCCAAUGCUCUUCACCCUGGUUCCAGAGGAUGGAGGAGCAAGUUCAUUUCCAGGCAGACAUCCAGCCCGGGAAGAUGAUUUCACCUCCGCGUCUUGUCGUUUCCACGAGGGAUUCCUGGGUGCCCGCUGCCCCCACCUGGCUAAGCCCGGGGAGGAGCGAACCACAGCCUUCUUCCCCCAGGCUGAAACCUCGCAGCUAAAGGGAUCCUCCCUCCUCUUCUCUGAUCUCCUGCUUAUGCAUCCAGGCCGGGAGGACUGAGGACCUCUCUUUGUGCUUGACUGUGAAUCUGCCACGUAGCAAAUGCCAAGGUAGGAGAAAAAGUCAAUCCCUGUUGUGUAUCUUUCAAACCAGGUCUUUCCUGUACUCUCGCGGAGCAAGCGCUUUCUCUUAAUGUCUGGGCCAGAUCUCACGGACUUAGCACUACUUGUUCUCAUCUGGCUGGUUCCAGGCUUCUGAUGGUGUUCUGGUCUAGAAGCCUGGUCCCACGAUGAAAUCCACUCCUGCUCGCUCCCAGCUCCACAUCACCCACAGAUUCGAUAAUUCAGCUUUCUGGGCUGUUAUUCAAGCCUUUGAUGAAAAGAUCAAAGACAACAGGACUGAAUAGAGGACCCUUAAUUCAGGGUGACAUUUAUUCCAGCCUGUCCUUGGUGAACUGCUACUGGCUCCAGCUACUUACCACUUCCUGUUAUCUGAGCUCUAAAACUGUCUGUCUAAUCAGGGCUCACAGGUGCCUGGGCUCCAGUCUACAGCUCCCUCGUCUCCCAGGAUGUCAGUGACCUGGGCUAGGGAUUUGGACUCGCUGAAAAUAGCAAGUGCUUCCUCGCCCAGCUCUGCCAACCCCCUUCCCCCACCACUGCAUCUAGGCAUCUUCAUUCAGCUCAGCUCUGCCCAGCCACACCCCGGCCCCAGCUCCCAAGCAAGCACCGCCUCGCUCAUCCCCUUCCAGGCUCAGCCUCGGCUCCUCUCUCAGGCAACUGGUCUGCCCCUGAGGGGAGGGGCAGGAAGACCGUCACUGAAGCACCCAGAUGACUCAGAUGACCCCAAGAGUUGAGAUCUGCUGACGUCCAGGACCCUUCGGUCGGCUGGGGCUGGGGUGGGUGGAGCAAAGCAUAUUUAUUAAGCAAGAGCCAGGAGCUGGGCUAGGUGUGUUAGCGCAAUUAUCUCUGUCUCCUGGGUGAGGAGCGGUGAGGGAGGUCACAGCACUGGCCUAACGUCCCCGACCAACCAGUUCAGGGGCAGAACCAGGUUCUGAUCUAAGCCUCUGCCCUCUGUUUGCUCUCCUUCCAGGUAGUUAGGGACCCCGUCACUGUCUCCGCAGCCUCCGGAAGACAGAGGAAGCCGGAGCACAGCCCAUCCUGAGCCCCCAGGAGGGAGAAGCAGGUUGAGGGCGAGGGAAGGGGGGGCGGGGAGAAGUGCAUCCCUGACAUCAGGCUGCUGGGAAAUGAGUCCAGUGUUCCUGAGACCUGAAUGAUUUGGGAUUAAGCUUCCAGAUCUGGCACCACAGAUGCGAUAUGAAUCCGUUGCGGCCCCACCCCCAGCCCAUGGCAGGGAACAGAUGGACAGACCCCUCCCUGGGGUCUAAGUAGGGCACUGCUGAGGCUGCUGGGAGGCAGCAGGGGAGCCAAUCAGCCCUGGGGGGCAGAGCAGGGGCAGAUCCAGCUCCACCUCCCCUUCCUGGGCCCCCCACCCUCCAAGACAGUAGAAUCUGAGGGUCAGCUCUCUGCUGCCAACUGUGGGUGGUGCUGCCACACAAGGCAGAGACUCCGGACCCUGGAGCAGCACCGGUCAUUCAGGCACAAGUCAGGCCAUCCUUCCUAAGUCCCAAGUCCAUAGCCUGAGACCACUGGAAGCAACAAGGGACACAAACUUCCUCCUCGGGGCUCCAGAGCAAGGCAUGGGCAGCGUGGUGCUCAGAGCAUCAAGGUCCCGAGCAGGACCAGCCUUGUGUGGCCCUCCCGUCACCAUGAGCACAGCGGGAUGGGGCCAUGGGAGGCCAGACGGAUGCAGAAACAGAAAGAAGGCAACUGUCAGAGCUGGAGGGACCUGGGGACUCCUGAGUCCUCUUCCUGUUCAAGAAGCAAAGGCUGAGGCUCAGCAAGGAGAGGGGACAGGUGCACAGGGAACGGGUGACAGAGCCAGGGGCCCCUUCCACAUCAACGCAAACCACUGAGCUUAACUUGUAACAGCAAAACACAGGAACAGUCCAAAUAUCCACCCGCAGGCAAAGGGAUUAACCGACUGGGUGUUUCCAUGCUCAAGACUAGCGACCACUCAGCAACACGACUGGAUGAACCAAUGAUCCAUGCAAGGCGGCUAAGUCAUAAAGGACCAUGUCAAGUGACCAAAGUCAGACAAAGAGGAAGCAAUGUAGGAUUCUGUUCCUACCAAGCUCUGGAAAGAGUAAAGUAAUCUGGAGGGACAGGCAGUAGAUUGACAGCGACAGCGUCAGAAGGGGCAUUAAGAAGGGGUAUGGGAACGAUUUGGGGUCAUGGGUAUAUUCGCUGUCUUGGCUGUGCUGAUGGUUUUGCGGGCAAGUACACACACUGAGGAAGGGAGGAGGCGGACGCCCGGGAGAGCUGGCCGGGAGGGGAUGGACUUGGAGCAGAGCUGGCCUUGACAGAGCCGGCAUGGAAGGCUGGGAUGAUGCAAACGGCAACAGCCCUGCAGAGGCAGGCGUUUGAAUGAAGGCUCAGACAAAGCAGUGUUCUCAGAAGGAUCCAGAACAAUGGGAAGAGCCCAGGGCUGCCAGGGGGAUGAGGAAAGACGACCCAUGUACAUCUGCUCCAUGCACAUAUGUCUCUGGAGUCUCACAGUACCUACACUUAAGAGUAACCAUCAAAAGAAGGUUAUGGGAGAGAGGAACUAUCAAAAGAAGCAUGGGAGAGAGGAAGGAGGAGGGGAGAGAAGAGGAGCAUGGAAGAGACCCUGGAUGCAUCCACCAAGCUGGGCUCUGUGGAUAUAAGGGAGCCAGAGCAAAGGAAUGGUGCAUGUAACUCAGAGCUUCCAGGAAAUUUUCCUGGCAGCAAAGUGCAGGGACCUCCACUCUGUCCGGAUCAUGCACCUGCUCUCUGGAAGGGCUGGUGCAUCUCCUUACCAGCCUGGAUGGCGGAGUGGCAGGGAGCACACAGCAGGCCCUUCUCCAAGAGUUGGGAGGGCCUGGGAUGCCCCAGCUUCUGCUCCCAGAGCAGAGAACAAGCUACUCCCCUCGCCUCCCAGGGAGGCCAACGAGGGCCUGUGGCACAGCCAGGAAGGGCAAAGAUUUCCAAAGCUCUGUGAUGGAAUCUCUCCCUGGUUCUCCCUGUCCUCACGUUUCACAGGCACCUCCAACCCACAGCUCAUAUCUUCUGGAAGCGGCAGUAGCCCCAGCAGCCCUGCCUCCAGGGCAGGAAGGAGGAAUACAGGCCUGCAGGAGUGUGCUGGGCCCAGGAGGGGCAAGUACAACAUGUCUACUUGGCUCCUCCACCACCUAACUGCUCAGAAGACCCAAGCCCCUCCCCCAGAGCCAGCUCUGGGCAAACGAAUAGGCUCCCUGGAUGAUGGGCCCGCUGUCUGCCUGGACCAGACCGCUGUCAGACUGUCCCCAAUUCAACCAUCAAAAAUGAACAGCCCCUGCCUUCACUCCAUCCCUCUCUGGGGCGUGAAAAUGAAGCUUGUAAUCUACCAUACCCGGCACAGCACUUUACAGUCGACCCCUUCAUCUCCUUCCUGAUCCUGUGAAGCAGCUAAAAUCAUGCCCACCCUCCAGAUAAGGGUUUCACACUUCAGCUGGGCCUGUGGACCUGUCUACGGUCCCACAGCUAACGUUUAGGGGGAGGGAACUUAAAGCUUCCAAGCCAGCUUGCCAAAGGGCCAGAAGCAUGAGGACCAGACAGAUUCUCACUGGGAAGCUUGCGGCCAGCACCGGGCAGAACACAUCACUGCACAAGACCCGGUCAGAGUUAGAAGGAACCCCACAGGCAUCCCAGCCGGCUUCGUCUCACCCUUCAGGCAACUGAAGCCUGAGAAGGACCAAGGAGGCGGUCAUGGGAAAUUGUACUUUAAGCUCCUGGGAACUGAGAGACUAAGAAUCUAGGAGCGGCCCCGACCGGCUGGCCCUGGGGGUCCUUGAUGGUGGCAGAGGGUGCACAGGCAGAGUUACAAGGGGUGCAGGCUCAGCCCAUCCCCCAUUCCCAUAGCACAGGCAGACACGCUGAGCCUGUCCCCCAGAAGCCAAGGCCACGUUAAAAUUCUCCAGGACAGGGAAGAGAGCAGCCACCAGGUGCUGGCACGAUGGGAGGCAGGCGUCACCCUCCCCAUUUUGCAAAGAAGCCAAGGCUCCGAAGGUUGAACAACCUCCGCAACGGCACAAGUAGGAAGGAGCAGAGUCGGGACGAAAAAACGCAGCAUUCGUCCCACCACCCUCACUCCCCUCAGGCUGGGCUACUGGGCUGCCGGGGGACUUGCCCGCAGCUCAUCGGCUCAGCCUCCAGCCCUGAGAUGAGGUCUCUGGGGUCCUUCCGCUGGGCUUCUCCAUCUGGCAUCAUUCAGGGCUGACUCCUGGCCCCUCACCCAAGAUUGCCCUCAUCAGACAGUGCAGAGGCAGUCAGGCCUGCCAGGAGCAAUUCACCAGAUCCACAACUUGAGAAUCUCCAGGGAACCAACCUGGGAAUCUGCAUUUUAACAGGAGCCUUCCGGAAGCACAAUUUUGGAGAAAGAACGUGCGAAAGACUGGCAUCUGCUGCUUUCAGCAAAGAUCCUCCCCAGGUCUCUCCAGGUUGGAGAAAGGAAAACCUAUUUGCAGUCUCUUCUCUCAGGGCUAAAGCGAGCUGGAUGCCCCUCCCCCGCCUCCCACCACCCCCGGGGGGGGCGGGAAUCAAAAAGGAGCGCCUUCUGGGAGGCACAACUUCCGGGGGUGAAAACCCUUCCCCUUGGCGGGGAGGGGAAGAUGCCCCUUCCUCCAGGCACCUCCACGGCUCAGGUGGGGGCGGAGCCAGGAGGCGCCGAGGCCCCGCCCACGAGGUCACCUCCAGCUCCGGAUUACGUGCCCUGCCUGCCCCCUCCCGGCUAAAACCCAUCUUCUGCUGUCAAGAAAAAGGUCGUCUGCCUGGAGUCGCUGAAAAUUACACGUUAACAGCCUUACAGAUUUCCAGCAGUUUCAAAUGCUGGCUUUGGCCAAAAACUUCUUUAAAAGGCCAUCCUCCCUUCUUAUUCCAUAGCGUUUACAUUUUAUAACAUUUAAACAGAACCGCUUUCAAACACAGAUAGGCAGUACUUUCCUGACAUGUCCCCAUAAAAAGUAAAAUCUGGGAAGCGUCUGCGGUGGACGGCUGGGGAAUGCCUUCUGUGCCCAGCAGUGAUUAGCUCCAUCUGCAAAAUAGUUCCCAACGCUGCUGCCUCAAACUAGGAGCUCCUUCCUCCGAGAAGCCCUCCUGCCUCCCGUCUGGGCUCCGUGCCAUGGAUAUCUGUCCACAGAAGACGUCCUUUGUUGAAGUUGCGGUUAUGGCUCAGUGGAAACGCAUCUGACUAGGAACCAUGAGGUUGUGGGUUUGAUCCUUGGCCUCGCUCAGUGGGUCAAGGAUCCGGUGUUGCCAGGAGCUGUGGUGUAGGUCGCAGAUGCGGCUCAGAUCCAGUGUGGCUGUGGUGGCUGUGGGUCGGCCAGCAGCUAUAGCUCCAGUUAGACUCCUAGCCUGGGAGCCUCCAUAUACC
RNAcentral lists this long non-coding RNA (6873 nucleotides) under Sus scrofa (pig). RNAcentral's name for it is "lncRNA (ENSSSCG00000048033.2)". Lineage: Eukaryota; Metazoa; Chordata; Mammalia; Artiodactyla; Suidae. The record is from RNAcentral.